This 493-nucleotide ribosomal RNA is filed under the name uncultured bacterium. Its description in RNAcentral is "bacterial SSU rRNA". It matches the Rfam family "Bacterial small subunit ribosomal RNA", at positions 28 to 507 of the family's 1533-position model. The record is from RNAcentral.
GAUGAACGCUAGCUACAGGCUUAACACAUGCAAGUCGAGGGGAAACGACAUUGAAAGCUUGCUUUUGAUGGGCGUCGACCGGCGCACGGGUGAGUAACGCGUAUCCAACCUGCCCACCACUUGGGGGAUAACCUUGCGAAAGUAAGACUAAUACCCAAUGACGUCUCUAGAAGACAUCUGAAAGAGAUUAAAGAUUUAUCGGUGAUGGAUGGGGAUGCGUCUGAUUAGCUUGUUGGCGGGGUAACGGCCCACCAAGGCGACGAUCAGUAGGGGUUCUGAGAGGAAGGUCCCCCACAUUGGAACUGAGACACGGUCCAAACUCCUACGGGAGGCAGCAGUGAGGAAUAUUGGUCAAUGGACGGGAGUCUGAACCAGCCAAGUAGCGUGCAGGAUGACGGCCCUAUGGGUUGUAAACUGCUUUUAGUUGGGAAUAAAGUUGGGUCACGUGUGACUUUUUGCAUGUACCUUAUGAAUAAGGACGGCUAAUUCCGUG